GUGAACAUGCCAGAUGGUUAUUGGGCAUGACUAGAAAUCAUGUGGCCUCUGCCCCCGCAGGUCCGAAUCCUGCCGUCCACG
Molecule: transfer RNA, 81 nt
Filed under: Selaginella moellendorffii
Lineage: Eukaryota; Viridiplantae; Streptophyta; Lycopodiopsida; Selaginellales; Selaginellaceae
Rfam family: tRNA
About the family: Transfer RNA (tRNA) molecules are approximately 80 nucleotides in length.
Source: Rfam by way of RNAcentral